Molecule: long non-coding RNA, 565 nt
Filed under: Homo sapiens (human)
Lineage: Eukaryota; Metazoa; Chordata; Mammalia; Primates; Hominidae
Description: HSALNT0209147
Source: RNAcentral
UUAAAACUUAUACAUUGUUUAUUUCUGGAAUUUUCUGUUUAAUAUUUUGGGACCUCAGUUGACCAUGAGUAACACAAACCACAGAAUGCGAAACAGUGGAUAAGAGAGGGACUACUGUACAUACUUUCGCCUAAGACAGUUCUGUAUAUUCUUCUGUUAACGGGGUAGCAAAAGCAUAUAGAAAGGUUUUGGGGGGAUGCAGUGCAUUGCUCUUCUGUAAUGACAGUAAUUUACUUCAAGACAUUGCAGGAGAAGGGGUUAAAGGAGUAAAGGGGAGGAAGAGAAGGAUUCAUUUCAUGCCUACCUGUACAGAGACACUUUCUUGCUUUCUACUUUUUUUUUUUUUUUUUUUUUUGAGACGGAAUCUCACUCUGUGCCCAGGCUGGAGUGCAGUGGCACAAUCUCGAUCUCAACUCACUGCAACCUCUGUCUCCUGGGUUCAAGGUUGUAGUACAACAUGAUCAUGCUUGUGAAAAGCCACUGCAGUCCAGCCUGGACAACACAGCAAGACCUGCUUCUCUUAAAAACAAACAAACAAAAAACACCUCUUGGCUGGGCAUGGUGG